Molecule: unclassified non-coding RNA, 391 nt
Filed under: soil metagenome
Description: partial contains 5.8S ribosomal RNA, internal transcribed spacer 2, and large subunit ribosomal RNA
Rfam family: 5.8S ribosomal RNA (bases 1-122)
Source: RNAcentral
GAUGAAGAACGUAGUGAAAUGCGAUACUUGGUGUGAAUUGCAGAAUCCCGUGAACCAUCGAGUCUUUGAACGCAAGUUGCGCCCGAAGCCAUUAGGCCGAGGACACGCCUGCCUGGGCGUCACACGUCGUUGCCCCCCCAUCUACUCCUUCGGGAUUGCGGGGGGCGGAUGAUGGCCUCCCGUGCGCCUCGUCGCGCGGUUGGCAUAAAUGCCAAGUCCUCGGCGACGCACGCCACGACAAUCGGUGGUUGCGAAACCUCGGUUGCCCGUCGUGUGCGGUCGUCGCGCAUCGAGGGCUCGAAAAAAUUGCCGGGCUCCGGCUCGGCUUUCAACGCGACCCCAGGUCAGGCGGGGUUACCCGCUGAAUUUAAGCAUAUCAAUAAGCGGAGGA